Molecule: transfer RNA, 97 nt
Filed under: Diplocloster agilis
Lineage: Bacteria; Bacillati; Bacillota; Clostridia; Lachnospirales; Lachnospiraceae
Also listed under: 1 other name
Description: tRNA-Sec
Rfam family: Selenocysteine transfer RNA
Source: RNAcentral
GGAAGCAGAUGGAUGCUGGUGUAUCCCCUGGUCUUCAAAACCAGUGUGGGGCGCUUGAUACGUCCCGGGUGGGUUCAAUUCCCACAUGUUUCCGCCA